Molecule: ribosomal RNA, 716 nt
Filed under: Gordonia sp. UCD-TK1
Lineage: Bacteria; Bacillati; Actinomycetota; Actinomycetes; Mycobacteriales; Gordoniaceae
Description: bacterial SSU rRNA
Rfam family: Bacterial small subunit ribosomal RNA
Source: RNAcentral
GUUUUUUCAUGGAGAGUUUGAUCCUGGCUCAGGACGAACGCUGGCGGCGUGCUUAACACAUGCAAGUCGAACGGAAAGGCCCAGCUUGCUGGGUACUCGAGUGGCGAACGGGUGAGUAACACGUGGGUGAUCUGCCCUGCACUCUGGGAUAAGCCUGGGAAACUGGGUCUAAUACCGGAUAUGACCAACUGUCGCAUGGUGGUUGGUGGAAAGCUUUUGCGGUGUGGGAUGGGCCCGCGGCCUAUCAGCUUGUUGGUGGGGUAAUGGCCUACCAAGGCGACGACGGGUAGCCGACCUGAGAGGGUGAUCGGCCACACUGGGACUGAGACACGGCCCAGACUCCUACGGGAGGCAGCAGUGGGGAAUAUUGCACAAUGGGCGCAAGCCUGAUGCAGCGACGCCGCGUGAGGGAUGACGGCCUUCGGGUUGUAAACCUCUUUCACCAGGGACGAAGCGGAAGUGACGGUACCUGGAGAAGAAGCACCGGCCAACUACGUGCCAGCAGCCGCGGUAAUACGUAGGGUGCGAGCGUUGUCCGGAAUUACUGGGCGUAAAGAGCUCGUAGGCGGUUUGUCGCGUCGUCUGUGAAAUUCUGCAACUCAAUUGCAGGCGUGCAGGCGAUACGGGCAGACUUGAGUACUACAGGGGAGACUGGAAUUCCUGGUGUAGCGGUGAAAUGCGCAGAUAUCAGGAGGAACACCGGUGGCGAAGGCGGG